GGAAUUCAUCGUGGUGAUUUGACCGACCGGCUUGCGGCCACGUAAAACCAAACGCUAAAGAGGUCCGGUAGUGGGUCCC
This is a non-coding RNA of Magnetospirillum moscoviense, 79 nucleotides long. NCBI's taxonomy places the organism in Bacteria, Pseudomonadati, Pseudomonadota, Alphaproteobacteria, Rhodospirillales, Rhodospirillaceae. The record is from Rfam.